AAAAUGUAGUUAAAUCAGCAAAACACCUCCCUUACACCGAGGAAAUACCCAUGCAACUCGGGUCAUUUUGAACC
This 74-nucleotide transfer RNA is filed under the name Sphyrna lewini (scalloped hammerhead). Its description in RNAcentral is "tRNA-Val". It matches the Rfam family "tRNA". From Rfam's summary of the family: Transfer RNA (tRNA) molecules are approximately 80 nucleotides in length. The record is from RNAcentral. Lineage: Eukaryota; Metazoa; Chordata; Chondrichthyes; Carcharhiniformes; Carcharhinidae.